CUCCUAUUUAAACCUGCUUCAGUGCUCUUCAUUGCGUGCUGUUGUAGGCCGGUACAAUUACUUUGAACAAAUUAGAGUGCUUAAAGCAGGCUCCAAAUGCCUGAAUAUUUUGUGCAUGGAAUAAUGAAAUAAGACCUCUGUUCUACUUUCAUUGGUUUUUAGAUCAAGAGGUAAUGAUUAAUAGAAGCAGUUGGGGGGCAUUAGUAUUACGACGCGAGAGGUGAAAUUCUUGGACCGUCGUAAGACUAACUUAAGCGAAAGCAUUUGCCAAAAAUGUCUUCAUUAAUCAAGAACGAAAGUUAGAGGUUCGAAGGCGAUCAGAUACCGCCCUAGUUCUAACCAUAAACGAUGCCAGCUAGCAAUUGGGUGUAGCUACUAUUAUGGCUCUCUCAGUCGCUUCCCGGGAAACCAAAGCUUUUGGGCUCCGGGGGAAGUAUGGUUGCAAAGCUGAAACUUAAAGGAAUUGACGGAAGGGCACCACCAGGAGUGGAGCCUGCGGCUUAAUUUGACACAACACGGGAAAACUUACCAGGUCCGAACAUAAGCGUGUAAGACAGAUUGAUAGCUCUUUCUCGAAUCUAUGGGUGGUGGUGCAUGGCCGUUCUUAGUUCGUGGAGUGAUUUGUCUGGUUAAUUCCGAUAACGAACGAGACUCAAAUAUAUUAAAUAGAUGCUUUCAGGAUUAUGGUGUUUGAAGCUUUUAUAGCCUUCAUUCAUGAAUGCAGAACAUGUGUGAGUGUUUGAAUGUGUUUAUAAAGGUGGAGCCGUACCUGUUGGUUUGUCCCAUUAUAAGGACACUAGCUUCUUAAAUGGACAAAUUGCGUCUAGCAAUAAUGAGAUUGAGCAAUAACAGGUCUGUGAUGCCCUUAGAUGUCCUGGGCUGCACGCGCGCUACAAUGAAAGUAUCAACGUGUAUUUCCUAGACCGAGAGGUCCGGGUAAACCGCUGAACCACUUUCAUGCUUGGGAUUGUGAACUGAAACUGUUCACAUGAACUUGGAAUUCCCAGUAAGUGUGAGUCAUUAACUCGCAUUGAUUACGUCCCUGCCCUUUGUACACACCGCCCGUCGCUACUACCGAUUGAAUUAUUUAGUGAGGUCUCCGGACGUGAUCACUGUAACGCCUUGCGUGUUACGGAUUUUUCGCAAAAGUUGACCGAACUUGAUUAUUUAGAGGAAGUAAAAGUC
Molecule: ribosomal RNA, 1185 nt
Filed under: metagenome
Description: SSU rRNA
Rfam family: Eukaryotic small subunit ribosomal RNA
Source: RNAcentral